GAGGGAGGAAAUCUAAGGCAUGAUAAUUGAACCAUUAAGAGAAAAUGGUGGAAAUAUAAUGACAGAUGAGAAAAUCUAAUAUCUGCCACCACUAACAAAAGGGAAACGAUAGUUGAACCAUUAAAAUAUCAGGAUUGAGGUGCCAUUUCUCAGAGGCAUGAUAAUUGAAACACUUGAUUGACUUAAUAUUGGAGAACUACUUGACCCAAAAUUAUAAUUAAAU
This 223-nucleotide unclassified non-coding RNA is filed under the name Hevea brasiliensis (rubber tree). Lineage: Eukaryota; Viridiplantae; Streptophyta; Magnoliopsida; Malpighiales; Euphorbiaceae. The record is from RNAcentral.